UUGAUUUCAAUGAAGAUGGUGAGAAAAAAAGUGCUCUUGACAUGGAAUAUUUGUAUCCUUCACCACCAAGAAAACAAAACCAACUUGUCCCUUUACAAAUUCCACUAGACCUCAAAAUUGGUAACACCUCAAAUGAUGUUUUAUUGAAAGAUAUCACAAAAAAUCAAUCUCUUGAAGAUGAUCAAGAAGAAAAUGUGUCACAAGUUUUCUUUAAGAUUAAGGAAAAUGAAAUUGGUGACAUGAAAAUUGAAUCACCAAAGUCAAGUAGUAGCAAAGAGUUUAUUACUUCUCCAAGAAUGAUUAUUGAGAA
RNAcentral lists this long non-coding RNA (310 nucleotides) under Medicago truncatula (barrel medic). RNAcentral describes it as "long non-coding RNA (MTRU_LNC003971)". The record is from RNAcentral. Lineage: Eukaryota; Viridiplantae; Streptophyta; Magnoliopsida; Fabales; Fabaceae.